RNAcentral lists this ribosomal RNA (401 nucleotides) under uncultured soil bacterium. Its description in RNAcentral is "bacterial SSU rRNA". It matches the Rfam family "Bacterial small subunit ribosomal RNA", at positions 975 to 1375 of the family's 1533-position model. The record is from RNAcentral.
CUGGGUUAAAUCCAUUCGAAGUCCGCAGAGAUGUGGAUGUGCCCCUCGGGGAGCGAAUGAGACGGUGCUGCAUGGCUGUCGUCAGCUCGUGUCGUGAGAUGUUGGGUUAAGUCCCGCAACGAGCGCAACCCUCGUCGUUAGUUGGCAUCAGUUAGGCUGGCCACUCUAACGAGACUGCCGGCGUUAAGCCGGAGGAAGGUGGGGAUGACGUCAAGUCCUCAUGGCCCUUAUGCCCAGGGCUACACACGUGCUACAAUGGCCGGUACAAUGGGCUGCUAACCCGCGAGGGGGAGCCAAUCCCAAAAAACCGGUCUCAGUUCGGAUUGGAGUCUGCAACUCGACUCCAUGAAGUUGGAAUCGCUAGUAAUCCCUGAUCAGCAGGCAGGGGUGAAUACGUUCCC